GAAUAAAUAAAUAGGAACGGAAGGGAUUAGGGUUACUUGUGUGACGUAUCAACUUCAAGACUCAAGACUCAGCCCCUUCUCUUUCUCUCGUUCGCGUACCUCACCGGCGACGGUCGUCACCUCCCACCGCUGUCGUUUCACCUCAAAUCAACGUGCUUCAAACACAAACUCAUCCUAAAAUCUUCGACCCUUCCACCAAUUUAACAAAAGGAUCGUACAAAUAUUCGGAUCGAAGAAGGGAAGGAGCGAACCCUGGCUGAAUAUCGGAGGCGGAGAGAUGGAAACCGAAGAGAAGAAUCCGCAUUCUUCGUAUGCGAAAUAAACGCCCUUGAAUGCAAUAGAAAUCUCAGAUGGUGUGAAUUGGUGUUGUUGAUUGAUUGCAGAGAUCGGGGGAGAGAGUUGAAAAUUGGAGCUUGAAGAUUCGAUGAUUGUUGUUGAAGGUUGCUGAUGUUUGAAGGUUGAAGAAUGGAGUUGGGGGCGAAGAGAUGAAGAUGAUGAUUAUUCAGAGAAGAGGGAAGAAGAUGAUGAGUUCAAAGAAGAAUGGUGGAGAGGUGAUUGGAGAAGAUUGAAGAAUGUGAUUUGUGUGGUGAAUGGUGAAGUGAAGAAUGGUUUUGAAGUGUGUGGAGAGUGGAAACAGAGUGGUUGUGGAGAAAUGAUCGAGAGAGCUUGAAUGAAGGUGGAGCAGAGAAUAUAUAGGUUUCAGGGUGAUUGAACACUAACUCAAAUUGGGGCGGACUGCUAAUGAAGUUCGAAACUGUGAGCAAAUACUCGGUUAAUCCCGCUGGACCAGAAUUAUAUGGGCUGCACCAUGAACACUUUAGAGCUACUUCAACUGAGCUUGACAGGAGAGUCCUUUCAAGGCCCUAAAGAACCCCGUGAAGGCAACAUAUCAUGAGGAAACCCUUUGGCUUUGGUCACAUGUGAUUCAAACUUGUUUUCUGUAUAGUCCUCUCAUGUUGUAAUAUAUACUUGGAAUGUACUUUGGCUGUAAUAGCACUAUAGUAUUCUUGAAUUUGAAUUUGCAAUGAUAAUUGUAAUUGGAUGAAUGUAUAGACACUUGACUUUUCCCUCCAUUUACUUGAAUUUUCCCUCCA
This is a long non-coding RNA of Vicia villosa (hairy vetch), 1094 nucleotides long. RefSeq lists it as uncharacterized. Lineage: Eukaryota; Viridiplantae; Streptophyta; Magnoliopsida; Fabales; Fabaceae. The transcript is spliced from 4 exons. The record is from RefSeq and is a predicted model, not a curated record.